CGCUAGUGCAAUUUACCAUGGUUUCCGUGUCCAACUUUGACUGUCCGUCUUAUAUGAAAUUUUUUUAUAAUUUGUAUUUUCAUUCUUGUUAGGUGAUAAAACAUGAUUAAUAUUUUAUGCGUGACUUGUCUUUUUAAUUUUUUUCAUAAUUUUUUCAAAUAAGACGGACGGUCAAACGACACGGAAACU
Molecule: microRNA precursor, 189 nt
Organism: Oryza rufipogon (brownbeard rice)
Lineage: Eukaryota; Viridiplantae; Streptophyta; Magnoliopsida; Poales; Poaceae
Rfam family: MIR812 microRNA precursor family
Source: Rfam